AUCUUACUGUUGUUGUUUUUUUUACUUAUUUUAACUUUUAUUUCUGGUCUGUCUAUUACUUUUAUGUUUUUGGCAGGUUGAGCUAUAGUUUAUUUUUGCAUGAAAACCGAUGCAAAGAAUGCGUUAAGCAGUCUGCUUUCUCUUUUUUUAUUAUCUUUGCCUU
This is a non-coding RNA of Notechis scutatus (mainland tiger snake), 163 nucleotides long. The record is from RefSeq and is a predicted model, not a curated record. NCBI's taxonomy places the organism in Eukaryota, Metazoa, Chordata, Lepidosauria, Squamata, Elapidae.